CUUUCCUAACACAUGGAAGAAGAGCGCCCCGCAAGGGGAGCGGCGGACGGGUGAGUAUUGCGCGGGAACGUGCCCUUUGCUACGGAAUAGCCUCGGGAAACUGGGAGUAAUACCGUAUGUGCCCUUCGGGGGAAAGAUUUAUCGGCAAAGGAUCGGCCCGCGUUGGAUUAGGUAGUUGGUGGGGUAAUGGCCUACCAAGCCGACGAUCCAUAGCUGGUUUGAGAGGAUGAUCAGCCACACUGGGACUGAGACACGGCCCAGACUCCUACGGGAGGCAGCAGUGGG
Molecule: unclassified non-coding RNA, 285 nt
Filed under: uncultured bacterium
Lineage: Bacteria
Description: partial contains 16S ribosomal RNA and 16S-23S ribosomal RNA intergenic spacer region
Rfam family: Bacterial small subunit ribosomal RNA
Source: RNAcentral